AUUGAACGCUAGCGGGAUGCCUUACACAUGCAAGUCGAACGGAGUGGCGAACGGGUGCGUAAUGUAUCGGACCGUGCCCAGUAGCGGGGGAUAACUACGCGAAAGCGUAGCUAAUACCGCAUACUAUUGGAGCGGCCGAUAUCGGAUUAGCUAGUGGGUGGGGUAACGGCUCACCAAGUCGACGAUCCGUAGCUGGUUUGAGUGGACGACCAGCCACACUGGGACUGUGACGCGGCCCAGACUCCUACGGGAGGCAGCAGUGGGGAAUUUUGGACAAUGGGGGCAACCCUGAUGCAGCCAUCCCGCGUGUGGGAGGAAGGCCUUCGGGUUGUAAAGUACUUUCAGCAGGAAAGCGGUACCCGCAGAAUAAGCACCGGCGAACUACGUGCCAGCAGCCGCGGUAAUAC
RNAcentral lists this ribosomal RNA (407 nucleotides) under uncultured bacterium. RNAcentral's name for it is "partial 16S ribosomal RNA". It matches the Rfam family "Bacterial small subunit ribosomal RNA", at positions 30 to 526 of the family's 1533-position model. The record is from RNAcentral.